UUGCUUUGGCAGCAUAUAAAAUAAAACUGGAAUGAUACAGAGAAGAUUAGUAUGGCCUCUGUGCACAGAUGACACACAAAUUCUUGGAGCCUUCCACAUUUUU
Molecule: small nuclear RNA, 103 nt
Organism: Trichosurus vulpecula (common brushtail)
Lineage: Eukaryota; Metazoa; Chordata; Mammalia; Diprotodontia; Phalangeridae
Source: RefSeq, a predicted model, not a curated record